CAAGAAGCAGUCGGCACAGGAGAGCUCGGGCAGUGGUGGUCGCUCGAGGUGCUCGCGGAUUCGCGCCGGCACGGAGAGCGAGUCGAGCGCCAGCAGCGUAGCACGCGCCUCCUCCACGUAGCCGGGGUCGGGGCCAGUUACCAGGCCGACGAUGAGCAGGAAGUGCCGCGCGCCCUCUGGCGGCGAGUAUCCCGUGGCGACGGCGGUACGUGGUUUCCGUGGGAACAGCUCACGCCACACAACGAGUUGCCCGGCCCUGGGGCUCCGCGUCAGCAGCAGCAGCCCAUGCAGGCGGCAGUAGAGCGUGACGGCAGUGAGCUCCUCCCUCGGUGAGCCAUUCCCAAGUGUUCCUCAUCUGCCAAGUGCUCGUGUAACGGGUUCCGGAGACACUUGUAGAGGACCUACACAGAAACCAGUAACGUGCAGACACAAGUACAGGUAUUACAGCCUCAGCUGCUAUAAACUGAGGUGAAAUGUUCAUUUCUGUUCUAAAUCAUGUUGCAGCAUACUUCUACCCUCUCAUCUGUCUUUCUACUUCCCCUCGUUGUAAACUCCAUUCCAGUAAUGAAAAUUUAUUGGCAAACCUCACAGUCAACCUCCUAUCUAUACUCUUUGGUUUUUUCGGUAAAGUCACGUAGGUAAAAAAUAACAUAAAAUAAAUGAAGACGGAAGUUUGUGUUGCCUCCGAAACGUCGUGAUUUAAUUUAGUUGUUUUCAUUUCUUUUCUUUUAUUUUUUACCGAAAAAACCAAAGAGUAUGAAUCCUUGCAGUCACGAAAGCUUCAAAUCUAGAACCUCCUAUCUGCGGAGGUUGCAAUUUCUCGACUGCUGCCCCAGAUAUAUGGAACUCCCUCCCUCUAAGGCAUCCACACUGAAGACUCCUUCUUGAAGUCCAAGCUUAAGGCCUUCUUUUUAUCUCUGCCUUUGACAAGUUGCAUCUGUAUUCAAACCUUCCCACCCAUUCCCCACAUGUCCACCUCAUUUAAUCUUCACCUAGUGUGUGUCCCCCACCUAUAUACAACACUAAUCUAACUGUAGAUACUGUCUAAAUGCAAUCAUACGUGAAAACACAAAAAGGAGAGGGGGGAAAAAAAGCUACAUUCAAGAAUGAGAGGGAUAGAGGUUGGGGUGCACUGGCGGGGAUGGGGGUAGGGGAGAGAGGGGCAGGGGAGGGAGGGACAGAACGGGGGUCAGGGAAAAAUGGGUGAGGACAGAGAGCAACACUGCGGCAAGCCCAGAACAAAGCAAUUGGGGCCCAGCAAAAAUAAAAAUGAGAACCUUGCUAUAGCCGGGCCAAAAUGUAUAUAUAUGCAUCGUGAUGUUUUAUAAAUCACAGCUGUAAUUGUGUAGCGCGAGUUGAGUCACUACAAUUGUGUGAAUCACAUCAUCUCACCAGCUCCUGAAAGUCUGCCGAUUCCAGCUCACUCAAUGUUGUGUCAAUGUCGACCUGAAUUGUGAGAAAAACAAAAAUAGGUAUUUUUAUUUUUCUGACUUACUACCUGGAAGAGAGAUAGCAUUAUAAUACAAUACAAAUUAAAUGCUGCAUUCCAACAAGCAGCUUGCUGAAUUUGUGGAUUCAUUCUCUGUAUGCCUCAGAUUUCAAAUGUGUCAAUCCGUGCUUUUAUCUAAAAAUGUAUUGAGACUCAAUGAGGAUUUCUUGAAUAAGUCGAGAAUUAUUAUUUUCCUCAUCACUUGCAUCAGAAUAAUCAUAAUUUUAAAUUCACAACAGAGGUAUCAAUGUACAACCUUCAAAUUACAUAUUUACAGAUGACGAAUGUACUUUACAGGAGAACAAAAAAAGCAUUGAGUUAGAAUCCACUUGAGAUCUUCAUUUGACUUGUGGUUGUUGUUGUUGUUGUUGUUUGACUUGCAUCCCACUGGGAUUUUUGCACAGCGUUGGUGUACGGUGUUUUUUUUUCUGGAAGACUUUGCAGGUUUUUCCUGGAUUUUUAUGUUUGCGCAUAGUCACUUUAAGAUGUUUUCUUGUUCAUGUUUUUGUUUUUUGUUUGUUGCGGUUGCACCCGAUUCAAGAGCCGAAUGGCUCACAGGGCUAUACCAUAUAAAUGAAACUGAAAUUUCA
Long non-coding RNA from Lethenteron reissneri (Far Eastern brook lamprey), 2079 nucleotides. RefSeq lists it as uncharacterized. The record is from RefSeq and is a predicted model, not a curated record. Lineage: Eukaryota; Metazoa; Chordata; Hyperoartia; Petromyzontiformes; Petromyzontidae.